This 1190-nucleotide long non-coding RNA is filed under the name Aquilegia coerulea. RNAcentral's name for it is "long non-coding RNA (ACOE_LNC002345)". Lineage: Eukaryota; Viridiplantae; Streptophyta; Magnoliopsida; Ranunculales; Ranunculaceae. The record is from RNAcentral.
UGUAUGUGUUUAAAUAACCUUGGCCUUGGAAUAUCAGAUUAGUCUUGUUAGAAGGAACAACUACCUUCUCUCUGGUUCACAUAUCACCACUGCCAACAUAGAACUAAUAUAUUUGCUACUUAGGCUACUAACUCCACAUAUCACCAUGGAAACUGCAUGUUUACUUAAUUACAUUGGCUUUUGUAUGUAUCCAGGUCAUUGAAAACUUCGAACUUAUUGAAAGUUCAUAGUAACUGAAAUUGAUAGUACAAUCAUCGGGUUGAAUUUCUAAACAAAUAACUUCGAACUUAUUGAAAACUUUCAAGACCAAGCAACUAAUCAAAUAAUUCAUAGUAGGAUCAUCGGGUUGAAUUUCUAAACAAUCCAUCAUCUAUUUAUACAAUAGAGAACACAAUGGAGUAAUGUUUCUGACCAACAAUUGCUUCAAACAAUUGAUUAAAAGACUAUAUUGAUGGGGUAGAUAGUCUCUGAAGCAUUUGAUCUAACAAAUAAUGGGCAUCUUCAAUUUUACAAAAUCCUAAGAUACAACACUCUUUAAUCAUCAUAUUUCUGGAAUUGGGUUGUGAAUGAUUCAACACCAACAAAAAUCCCUUCAGCAAACCCCCUUUUAAACCAAUAAUCUUCGACGAUCAACCAUCGAUUUUAUAAAAAAAAUUAAUUUUUUGGUUUGAAUGGUAAGUGAUUUGUUGGAAAAUAAACCCUCUUACACAAGAACCCCAUUUCUCCAAAGAACUUCUUAACCACACACUUGUGUUCCUGAACUUGUUGUGAUUUUGAUGCAAUAUAGAAUAUACAGAAUUAAAACCCUAGAAAACUCUUAAAACACUUUGUAAGAAAGAGAAGAAGAAAAAUCACUAACCUGCGCAGGUAGCAAAAAUAAACCAACCAACGACUUCUCCGAUGGAAUUUCUAGAGUCUUAGGUUAAUGGAAGAAUAGAUAUAGAAGUUUGAAGAAUAGAUUUGUUUAUUUUCUUCUAAAUACUUCUUCUAAAUACUGUUAAUGGUUUAACAAAGAUUGUUUUUUUGACACAGAUAGCAAAUUUCAAUCUCUCUCUUCAAUAAAAGAUUUUGUCUUCGAUCAGUUAAAAAUUCGUGGAGAGAGAAAGGGGAGAAGACAAUGGAAUAGGGCUUUUAUUUUUAUUUUAAUUUAUUAUGAUACGUUAAAUUCCGACCAUUUAUUUUCAAUCUCA